RNAcentral lists this ribosomal RNA (301 nucleotides) under uncultured bacterium. Its description in RNAcentral is "partial 16S ribosomal RNA". It matches the Rfam family "Bacterial small subunit ribosomal RNA", at positions 509 to 807 of the family's 1533-position model. The record is from RNAcentral.
CAGUCGCCGCGGUAAUACGUAGGUGGCAAGCGUUGUCCGGAAUUAUUGGGCAUAAAGGGCUCGCAGGCGGUUUCUUAAGUCUGAUGUGAAAGCCCCCGGCUCAACCGGGGAGGGUCGUUGGAAACUGGGAAACUUGAGUGCAGAAGAGGAGAGUGGAAUUCCUCGUGUAGCGGUGAAAUGCGUAGAGAUGUGGAGGAACACCAGUGGCGAAGGCGACUCUCUGGUCUGUAACUGACGCUGAGGAGCGAAAGCGUGGGGAGCGAACAGGAUUAGAUACCCCCGUAGUCCCUGUCUCUUAUAC